UACGUAGGUCCCGAGCGUUGUCCGGAUUUAUUGGGCGUAAAGCGAACGCAGGUGGUUUAUUAAGUCUGGUGUAAAAGGCAGUGGCUCAACCAUUGUAUGCAUUGGAAACUGGUAGACUUGAGUGCAGGAGAGGAGAGUGGAAUUCCAUGUGUAGCGGUGAAAUGCGUAGAUAUAUGGAGGAACACCGAUGGCGAGAGCGGCUCUCUGGCCUGUAACUGACACUGAGGCUCGAAAGCGUGGGGAGCAAACAGG
This 252-nucleotide ribosomal RNA is filed under the name uncultured bacterium. RNAcentral describes it as "partial 16S ribosomal RNA". It matches the Rfam family "Bacterial small subunit ribosomal RNA", at positions 524 to 776 of the family's 1533-position model. The record is from RNAcentral.